Molecule: RNA transcript, 7820 nt
Organism: Diospyros lotus (date-plum)
Lineage: Eukaryota; Viridiplantae; Streptophyta; Magnoliopsida; Ericales; Ebenaceae
Exons: 2
Source: RefSeq, a predicted model, not a curated record
UGUGAAUGUCUUAUGUGGACUAUGCUGUUUUUCUUUUCACACCAAAUAAGUACUUGGAUCCUCUUAUUUUUCAGUUUAGAAAAAACCCAUGUUUGAUGUUAAACAUCGAUUUCUAAGGUUUUAAAUGGAUGGAGUUAAAUCUCCUCUCUCCUAAAUUUCAUUUCAUUUUAAGGGCAUCUCUAAAUCAUUUGAUCUUAUGUUAGCUCGUUGUACAAUAUAAUAAGCAUAAAUAAUGUUCCCGACCCUUUUAAUGUACCCAUACUCAUUUUUUAAUAAAUCUCUUCAUAAUUUUAGAUUAAGAGUUUAAAGAGGUUUGAUCCUUAAAUACAUAUUCCCACAACAUAUGCAUAUUAGAGUCCAUGUAGUACCCUGUCAUGUGCCUAAAAUGUGCUUACUAAAUAAAGAGAGGCGGGAAGGUAGUAGUAGCCUUAGCACAUGGUAGUUAGCAGUUGUAUAAAAUUUUGGCGGGAACUAUUCAAAUGUCCACUUGAUUGUCCACUUGGCUGGUAGAUCAAUAUAAAUACACACUAAUCUCACUCGAAGAACAUAUGAAUGAAUUGAAUCUUGAAUUUCCCUCUAAAUUCUCUCUCUCUCAAGUCUCCUCUACACAAUUCUCCAGAAUUUUGAAUUCCUUGUAGAAUUCUUAAGAUAUACUUGUCAGAUCCGUUGGACCUGACAAUUUGGUAUCAGAGCGAUCCAGGCCAAGCGAAAUUGCUGGAAAGAUCCGGUUAUGGCAGACAGCACGAGGAUGAAGAGUAUGAAGGCGCAACUACACCAAUUUGGGUCCCCAGUAUCGGAUUUGCAGGCAAGGGUAGAUCAGCUAGAAUCGGGAUCAAAUCGUAAUCACGAGGCGAUCAUCUCCAUUGAUCUCAAAUUAGAUGGUGCAGUCAAUCAGAUUUGAGAAGAAGUAGGAGCGCAGAUUCGUGAGCAUCUGCAAGGCUUCAUGGUCAUGUUUGUGCAACAACAAUUGGUAAGCCUCUCCCCAGAUUUUCCUCCUAGGGAAAAAGAAGAUCUGAUCCUUCUCAGUCAUGGGAUGAGUCAGAGGAGACCGGGAACUUCUGAGAUUUGAGAGGAACUAGGGUAAAUGGGGGAGAAUGUGGCUGGUCGAAGGCAAGGGGUGAAUGGAGGGCUUGGCCAUUAGGGGAUACCAAUGCCAAAAUUGGAUAUCCCCAUGUUUGAUGGAAGUACACCUCAAUGGUGGAUUAGAAGAUGUGAGAAGGCUUUUGAGUGGUUUGGAAUCCUUGAGCACCAGAAGGUGACUAUGGUUGUGACCUACCUUAACAAUGCUGAGGAUGAUUGGUACCAAGGAUGGGCCAAGACAAGGGGGGAAUGUCCAUGGGCAAAAUUUGCAGCAGAAUUCCCAUCUGCUUCAAUUUUAACAGGAUGGAGGUGACUUUUGAGAAAGAAGGGAAGGGAAUGACAUUGGUGGGCAGUAAGGAAGUCGGAGUGUGCAAGAUGAUCACGGGGAAGCAUUUACAGAAGAUGCUCAAGCAAAAACUAACUCAAGUGGCCCAACUUUUCUCUAUACAGGCAGUGGAAGAAGGGGAGGAGAAGGAUCAAAGGAUAGACUGUGAACUCUUGCUAGUGGUUAGCAGCCCCUCUCAAGCAAAGUGGGAGGUAAAUCAACUCAACCUAUUUCAUAUGCUUUUGUUUGAAUAUGAGAAUCUCUUUAGGGAGCCAAUAAGUCUACCUCCUCCUAGAACCCAUGACUACAACAACAACAACAUAUCCAGCCUUUAUCCCACUAUGUGAGGUCGGCUACAUGAAUUCUAGACUUCCAUGUAUUUCUAUCUUUUGUCAUAUCUUCAUUGAGAUCCAUACACUUCAUAUCAAACUUUAAUGUCUCCCUCAAAGUCUUCUUAGGUCUGCCUCUACCUCUUUUUUUGAUUAAUUGUUCCAUUUCAUCAACUUUCAUAACAUGAGCGUCUCUUGGUCUCCUUCUCACAUGACCAAACCAUCUCAAUCUAGUCUCUUUCAUCUUCUCCUCUAUUGGCACUACUCUUAUCUUAUUACGAAUAACUUCAUUUUUAAUUUUAUCUUUUCUUGUAUGGUCGCACAUCCAUCUUAACAUCCUCAUCUCCGCUACACUCGUCUUUUGCUCAUGUUGGUAUUGGACUGCCCAACAUUCUGAGCCGUACAACAAAACUGGUCUUAUAGCUGUCCUAUAGAAUUUUCCUUUCAAUUUUAAUAGGAUUUUACCAUCAUAUAACACCCCGGAUGCAUUUCUCCAUUUUAGCCAACCUGCCUUAAUUCUAUGUGUGACAUUCUCAUGAAUUUCUCCAUCUUUUUGAAUCACUGAUCCCAAAUAUCAAAAAUGGUCUUUUCUUUGUAAGAUUUGGUCUUCCAAUUUUAUUAUAACAUCCUCCACUCUUGCAUUCUUACUAAAUUUACAUUCCAUAUAUUUUGUUUUCUUUCUGCUUAAUUUAAAUCCCCUAGAUUUUAAAUUGUUUCUCCAUAACUCAAGUUUAGUGUUCACUCCUUCUUUUGUUUCAUCCACCAACACUAUGCCGUCUGCAAAUAGCAUACACCAUGGCACCUCUGUCUGAAUAUCUUUAGUGAGUUCACCCAUGACUAUUCCAUUGAUUUGAAACUCAAUUCUAAACCCUUUAAUGCACAAGCCUAUCGUUACCCCCCAGCCUAGAAAACACAAAUAGAGCAAAUGGUCAAAGAUUGUUACAACAGUCCCUAAUUCAACCUAGCCAUAGUCCUUACAUAUCCUUGGUAUUGCUGGUAAAGAAGGAUAGAUCAUGGUGUUUCUGUAUAGAUUACCGCCUGCUAAACGCCAUGACCAUCAAAGACAAAUAUCCAAUUCCACUCAUUGAAAACCUCCUAGAUGAAUUAAGGGAUGCAACCAUUUUUUCUAAACUUGAUCUAAGAGCUGGCUAUCACUUGAUUCGAAUGAGCCCUAAAGAUAUACCCAAAAUUGCUUGUCGAACCCACUAGGGCCAUUAUGAGUUCUUGGUAAUGCCCUUUGGCCUUACUAAUGCCUCGGCUACUUUCCAAUCUUUGAUGAACCACAUUUUUGAACCCCACCUAAGAAACUUCAUCCUGGUAUUUUUUGACAAUAUAUUGGUGUAUAGCCGUACUUUUGAUCAACAUUUGACACACCUUAAGGCCACCUUUGAGAUCCUCAGAGUCAACCAAUUGCAUAUCAAAAGGUCGAAGUGUGCUUUUGCUCAAAGGCAGGUGGAAUACCUCGGGUACAUUAUUUCGGGCCAAGGGGUCAGCACAGACCUGAAGAAGGUAGCAGCCAUGCAGUCUUUUUUUUUUUUUUUUUGUAAUUACAGCCAUGCAGUCUUGGCCGAGGCCUAACACCCUUAAAGCCUUGAGGGGGUUUCUAGGCCUAACAGGGUAUUAUAAGAGGUUCGUGAAGAACUAUGGGAUCAUUAGUAGGCUUUUAACUCAAUUACUGAGGAAGGAAGGUUUCAAGUGGGAUGCUUAGGCUGAAGCAGCCUUUGAACAACUCGAGGGAUAUGAGUGAGGCCCCAGUGUUGGGCUUACCUAACUUUAACAAAACCUUCGUGCUGGAAACAAACGCCUAUGAGACUGGAAUUGGGGUGGUAUUAAUGUAGGAGGGAAGGCCCCUAGCAUUUCUCAGCCAAGCCUGAACCCCUAGACAUGUGGGGCUAAGCAUUUACGAGAAGGAGUUUGUAGUUGUGUUGAUGGCAGUGGACGAGUGGAGGCACUACUUAGAAGGGGCUCAAUUAGUGAUCAAGACUGACCAUCAAAGUUUAAAGUUUUUGCUUCUACAGAAGUUACACACUCAAUUACAAAAGAAGGGUAUGGCAAAGCCGAUGGGUUUUGACUACACUAUACAAUACAAGAAGGGGAAGGAUAAUGUAGUGGCUGAUGUUUUGUCUAGAUGUCAGGAGGAGGGAGAAGCAAUAGCGAUAACUGCCUUGGUACCAGAUUGGUAUCAAGAGGUGGCCUCCAGUUAUGAUUCCAAUGAGCAGAUCAAAGGGUUACUAGAGCAGUUGAUCUCCGGUCCCACCAACAAAUCAGGGUACACACUUAAAAAUGGGGUGAUCCGAUACAAAGGAAGAAUAGUGAUUAGGGACAAACAAGACAUCAAACAAAGGAUACUGCAAACCCUCCAUGAGUCCCCAUUAGGAAGACACUCGGGGAUUCAUAGCACAUACCAUAAGGUAAAGCAACUUUUUUUUUUGCCUAAAUUGAAGAAAGUUGUGGUUAAAUUUGUGAUGGCAUGCGAUACUUGCAAGAGAUGCAAGCAUAAGAAUGUAGCUACCCCCGGAUUGUUACAACCCUUAACUGUUCUGGGCCAGGCAUGGGAGAGCUUGUCAAUGGAUUUUGUGGAAGGACUGCCUAGAUCGGAAGAGAAAGAUUGCAUACUAGUGAUGGUGGAUAGGUUCACGAAGUUUGCUCACUUCUUGAGCCUUUCUCACCCAUACACCAUGCAAGAAGUUGCUAGAGUAUUCCUUGAUCAGGUUGUUAAGAUACAUGGGACUCUUAGAACCAUCAUCUUUGACUGUGACAAGGUAUUCACCAGUCUAUUGUGGCAGGCUCUACUAAUUUCCCUUGGGUCUAAGCUAAGCAUAUCAUCAGCCUAUCACCCCCAAACUGAUGGACAAACGGAGAGAGUCAAUCAAUGUUUGGAAAACUACCUGAGGUGCUUAUGUUUCCACCAUCCCAAGAGCUGGCACAAGUGGCUAUCACUAGCCCAGUGGUGGUACAACUCCAGCCACCACACUUCUAUCAGGAUGUCACCAUUCGAAGCUCUGUUUGGGUAUAAGCCUCCCCUACUUCCUGCUAUUUAGGAGACUACCAAUGUGGCAACUGUAGAAGAUUAUCUCCAACAAAGGCAAGAAAUCUUGGGACAGCUAAAGAGGGAUUUAGCUAUGGCUCAAAAUAGAAUGAAAUAACAUGCGGAUAAGGGAAGAAGCGAAAGGGAAUUUGCAGUAAGGGAUGAGGUCUAUCUGAGACUAAGGCCAACCCACAUCUGGGCAUUAACUACAAAACCAGUGUCCAAGUUAAGCCCCAAGUACUAUGGCCCCUUUCCCAUUGAGGCUAAUUUGGGUAAGGUGGCAUAUCGGCUGCGACUACUGGAGAAUUCCCAUAUUCAUCUGAUAUUCCAUGUGUCGCUAUUGAAGAGGGGCGUUAGAGGACAACAUGUGAGUGCAAGUCUGCCUCAGGGUAUAAGCAGCAGUCCAGCUCAGGCAAAACCCACAGUUGUUCUAGAUAAAAGGGUCAUUUACAAGGAUGGAGCCCCCAUAACCCAAGUGCUGGUGAAAUGGUCUCGUCUUCACAACGACCACAACACAUGGGAAUAUCUCCCUAAUUUGUUCACACAGUUCCCUAGGGUAGCUAGUCUACUUUGUAUUUCUAUAGUAGCCGUAGCACAUGGUAGUUAACGGUUAUAUAAAAUUUUGGCAAGAACUAUUCAAAUGUCCACUUGAUUGUCCACUUGGCUGGUGAGAUCAAUAUAAAUACACACUGAUCUCACUCGAAGAAGGCAUGAAUGAAUUGAAUCUUGAAUUUCUCUCUAAAUUCUCUCGCGCGCUCUCUCUCUCUCUCUCUUCUUCUUCUUCUUCUCUCUCUCUCUCUCUCUCUCUCUCUCUCUCUCUCCGAUCAAAUCUCUUCUACACAAUUCUCUAGAAUUCCUUGCGGAAUUCAUGAGAUAUACUUGUCAGAUCCGUUGGACUUACAUACCCAUUCCUGACUUGAAGUUUCAAAAUGGCAAAAAGCUUUUAUGUCCACAUUGCUCUCCACUUUGUUAUUUAUUUUGUUAUAACAUACAUAUAAUUUAGGUAUCAAAUUUCACAUGGUGGGUAGUAUGGCAAAAAUUGGAAUGCAGACAAGAUGUUAUGUGACCUUUAAUUGUCUUAAUUCCUAAAUCAAGCUUUAUUUUUUUCCUUAUAAAAAAAAGAGGAAAAAAAGUUGAGCUUGUUUACAGUUGCAUGUUAGUUAUGUGCAUAUGAGAUAGGCAAGAAAAUAUUUUCAGAAUAGCACCAAGAUAGUUGAGUGUAGGGUUGCAAUCGAGCCGAGUCGAGGCUAAGCUCGACUUGACAAACUUGAGCUCGACUCGGGCUCGGUUCGUCAAUUUGGUUGACGAGUCAAGCUCGGGCUCACCACCACUAAAAGAGGAUAUUGUGCAACAACGACAACAAAGGGAGGGGUGUGCAGCGACAACGGUCGGCGGCUAGAGGCGAGGCGACAGCGAAGGGAAGAGGAACAGGCAAAUGUAGAUUGUUGGGGAAGAAGAGGAACAUGCAGCAAUGGAAAGGGAAAAAAAGAGAGGGAGAAGGGUUUCUUGGGGGGAGAGACCCACAAAAUCUAAUAAAUGAUAUAAAUUAUAAUGAUAUGUAUGUAUAUGUAUAUAUGUUAAAUAAUAUAUUUAUGAAAUAUAUAUCUAAUAUAUUAUACAUAUAUAUAUUAUCUAAUCAUAAAAUAAUAUAUUUAUAAAAUUAUGAAUAAAUUUAUUAAUGUAUUUAUAAAUGAACCUAUUUUCACGAGCUAAUCGCAAACUUCUAAUCGGACCUAUUUGCGAGCUUUUAAUUGAGUCAAUUCGCGAACUAAUGAAUCAAGCUUUACUUAGCUCAAACUUGGCUCAUUUCCAAAUUGAGCUUUAAAGUUAGGCUCAAGCUCGGUUCAUUUACUUUAACGAAUGAAGUCGAGCAAGCUUUUAUCAAGCUAAACACCGAACUGCUCACAAAUAGUUCAGCUCAUUUGCGACCCUAGUUGAGUGUAACCCUAUACAUAGAAUGCAUACAAUGUCAAAAUUCAAAAAGAAUACCUGAAUGACCCAACCAGUUAUGUAUUCACUUGUCAUAUGCAAAUUUCCAAAUCAAGCUAUUCUCUAGAAGAGAAACACACGUGCACACACACACAGACUUUUGAGUACAUCAGUUCUAAUAGUAUAGAGAGGUAGUGCAAGAAAGAAAAUUGGUAUGGAAAAGAGGAUUAAAGAGCAGGGGGAAAAAAGAGACUAAAUAGGUAGAGAGACAGGGCAGGUUGUGUUUGUUCCAACUCUAUGAACAUUGGAUUAUUGUUUGAUCAUUAAUGAAUCUCCUGUCUUGGAACAUGUCCUUCAUAUAGUUUAAAGAGACAAAUUGUGAAAGAAAGUGUUCUUUAGGAUGUGGGAAUUGUUGCAUGUUGGCUGGUUCUUGUAAUCUUUAGGCAGCGCUUUGAACCUCUUUUGAAGGCUCAUGCAGGGAGAUUGUGUUUUCUGAUGUGCUGUUCAAGAGCUUUCAAGGAUACCUGACCUAGGAUGGUUGAAAUAUGUUUGGGGGCUUGAAGUGGCUUAUUCUUUCUCAUGUUUUCCUUGGAACGGUCCACAGAGUGGGGGUGAUUCAGAAAAGUAUGUACAAAAUAGGUUCCUGGACUACUGAAAAUCAGGUAUAUCGGGCAAACCACACUCGGCAGCGCUGCCAUUUUUGGUCUUUUCUUGGGUGCGGGCAGCUUGUUACACUGCGGGAGGUCGUAUUAAUCUCUGCAUUUCAGUUUACCAAAUAAGUUGGUUCCAUUUUGCUUACAAGAGUUGGCUUAUCGACAGUCUGCAAAUAUAGAUGUUUAGUGACUAGCAACCAUUUUCUUUACUUUGUGGUCCUCAUUUUUACUUUCUGUUUAUCUUAGCCAAUUCAUAAUGACUUUAGUAGUCUGUGAACAUGCCAUGUGGUGCUUUUCUUCUUUGAGAUGUCUUCGUGGUCUUUAAGGUCAAGGAUUGUUUCUUGGACGUUAUUUCAGCACUUGUCUUUUAACUCCCUCACAAAACAGCAAGUAUUGCAUAUUUGGACGCCUUCUGAAUUGCUUAUUGCAUACUCAUUUGAGGGUUGUAAACAGAUAAUGAUUCGUAUUUGUAGUUC